This 468-nucleotide ribosomal RNA is filed under the name uncultured bacterium. RNAcentral describes it as "partial 16S ribosomal RNA". It matches the Rfam family "Bacterial small subunit ribosomal RNA", at positions 28 to 507 of the family's 1533-position model. The record is from RNAcentral.
GACGAACGCUGGCGGCGUGCUUAACACAUGCAAGUCGAACGGUAAGGCCCUGCUUUUGUUGGGUGCUCGAGUGGCGAACCGGUGAGUUACAUGUGACUUACCUGCCCUUCCCUUUGCUUUAUCUUCACGAAACUGGGGUUUAUCCCGUAUAGGAUCUCCUGCUGCUUUGUGGGGGUUGGUAUGUUUCGGCGGUUGGUGAUGGUCUCGCGGCUUUUCCGCUAGUUGGUGGGGUAGUGGCUUUCCAAGGCUUUGACGGGUAGCCGGCCUGAGAGGGUGACCGGCCACAGUGGGACUGAGAUGCGGCCCAGACGCGUAGGGGAGGGAGCAGUGGGGAAGAUUGCACAAUGGGGGGAAGGCGGAUGCAACAAAGCCGCGUGCGGGAUGAAGGCCUUCGGGGAGUAAACCGGGUUCGCCUGGGACGAAGCGUGAGUGACGGUAAUGGGAAAAGAAGCACCGGCUAACUACGUG